Fundulus heteroclitus (mummichog) is the source of this 561-nucleotide long non-coding RNA. RefSeq lists it as uncharacterized. The transcript has 3 exons. Lineage: Eukaryota; Metazoa; Chordata; Actinopteri; Cyprinodontiformes; Fundulidae. The record is from RefSeq and is a predicted model, not a curated record.
AUUAACUAUUGUUUAAUGCUCUUCACCAUGCAGGUGCAAAGGAUAUCGCCAAUCUUACAGAUGCCUUUGAAUGGACUUGAAGCUGUUCUCCAGGAGGUGGUACUAGCACAAGGAGACAAAGCUUACCUCGCCCUGGUAACCACCCUGGUAACCACCAUGCCAAGACACACCUUGGCAUGCCAUGCAAGUGCUUUGAAGCCAUUGUGUCUGACCCAGUUUCCGGGAAGAAGACUCACUUUGCUUGGCCGGAUGGUGAGAUCCACUGGGGUAAAUUUUUAGAGUCAUUCAAGGCAGAAAAUCGGAUUCCUUUUGCGGUUGAAACGUGUUCUUCCUGCAACCGGCAAUAUAAAGACUGUGUGGGCUUCACCGGAAAUGGAAGACGAGGAGAGUACCCUCGUUGCUUCUCUGAUGGCAAACCUGGACGCUGUCCUGAAUGUCAAUACUGAAUGCAAGGAGAAUAUUAGUUGUUUUCCAGUCUUUUACACAUUUCAGUUGUCACAUAUUGUUGUUCGGGUUUUUUUUUUGUGACAUGCCAUUUUAAAUAAUUUCUGCUGAAGCACA